GUCUGACUUGGCGUUGUGGAGUCAUCCGUUUGGAUGUCCCCUAAACUUUUAGGCCACCCCCAGUAAUUUAGGGUGUCACGAAAUCAAUUCGGCACUAAAAAUGACGGGGGGCGUGCCAAAAAUUAGUGGGAAAUUCGCUAUUUUUCGAAAAUGUUUAGUGGGUAACCCCCUAAAACGCUUCCGAAAAUAGUGGGUACCCACCUAAUUUUCUCAAUUUUGGCCUCGGAUCAGGUGGGGAUACCCGCUGAACUUAAGCAUAUCAAUCAGCGGAGGAAAGAACCAACCGGGAUUGCCCCAGUAACGGCGAGUGAAGCGGCAAAAGCUCAAAUUUUAAACCUGCUAAAUUAGCCGGAUUGUAAUUUGAAGAGGAAAUGAUGGCCUAAAUUGCUCAAAAGUUCCCUGGAACGGGACGUCACAGAGGGUGAGAACCCCGUUUUGAUGCAACGGAAGCCGUAUAUCAUUCCUUCGACGAGUCGAGUUGUUUGGGAAUGCAGCUCAAAACGGGUGGUAAAUUCCAUCUAAAGCUAAUAUCGGCCGGAGACCGAUAGCGCACAAGUAGAGUGAUCGAAAGAUGAAAAGCACUUUGAAAAGAGAGUCAAAAAGCACGUGAAAUUGUUGAAAGGGAAGCGCUCGGGUUCAGACUUUGAGUCAGUAAUCCCCCUCCGAUUCGGGGGGGUAUUUGCGAACUCAAGGCCAACGUCAAUUGGGGGGAUUGGAAAAAAGCUUGCGAAAUGUGACCCUGCGGGGUGUUAUAGUCGCUUGCAAUACAAUCAUCCUCGAUUGAGGUUUAGAUGUUGGCGUAAUGACCUCGAGCGGCCCGUCUUGAAACACGGACCAAGGAGUCGACCAUCGACGCGAGUGUUUGGGUGUCAAACCCGCUCGCGAAAUGAAAGUGAACGGAGGUGGGAGCCUUAGGGUGCACCAUCGACCGAUCCUGAAGUUUACGGAAGGAUUUGAGUAAGAGCGUCGCUGGUCGGACCCGAAAAAUGGUGAGCUAUGCGUGAAUAGGGUGAAGCCAGAGGAAACUCUGGUGGAGGCUCGCAGCGGUUCUGACGUGCAAAUCGAUCGUCAAAUUUGCGUAUGGGGGCGAAAGACUAAUCGAACCAUCUAGUAGCUGGUUCCUGCCGAAG
RNAcentral lists this ribosomal RNA (1130 nucleotides) under uncultured fungus. RNAcentral describes it as "eukaryotic LSU rRNA". The stretch from base 218 to 1130 matches the Rfam family "Eukaryotic large subunit ribosomal RNA", at positions 1 to 966 of the family's 3401-position model. Lineage: Eukaryota; Fungi. The record is from RNAcentral.